AGUUGAUCCUGGCUUAGGACGAACGCUGGCGGCGUGCCUAAUACAUGCAAGUGGAACGCAUGAUUGAUACCGUAGCUUGCUACACCAUUAAUCAUGAGUCGCGAACGGGUGAGUAACGCGUAGGUAACCUGCCUACUAGCGGGGGAUAACUAUUGGAAACGAUAGCUAAUACCGCAUAAGAGUUUUUUAACACAUGUUAGAAAUUUAAAAGGGGCAAAUGCUCCACUGGUAGAUGGACCUGCGUUGUAUUAGCUAGUUGGUAAGGUAACGGCUUACCAAGGCGACGAUACAUAGCCGACCUGAGAGGGUGAUCGGCCACACUGGGACUGAGACACGGCCCAGACUCCUACGGGAGGCAGCAGUAGGGAAUCUUCGGCAAUGGGGGGAACCCUGACCGAGCAACGCCGCGUGAGUGAAAGAAGGUUUUCGGAUCGUAAAGCUCUGUUGUAAGAGAAGAACGUUGAGUAGAGUGGAAAGUUACUCAAGUGACGGUAUCUUACCAGAAAGGGACGGCUAACUACGUGCCAGCAGCAGC
Molecule: ribosomal RNA, 535 nt
Filed under: uncultured bacterium
Lineage: Bacteria
Description: bacterial SSU rRNA
Rfam family: Bacterial small subunit ribosomal RNA
Source: RNAcentral